This 71-nucleotide transfer RNA is filed under the name Loxodonta africana (African savanna elephant). It matches the Rfam family "tRNA". From Rfam's summary of the family: Transfer RNA (tRNA) molecules are approximately 80 nucleotides in length. Their secondary structure includes four short double-helical elements and three loops (D, anti-codon, and T loops). Further hydrogen bonds mediate the characteristic L-shaped molecular structure. tRNAs have two regions of fundamental functional importance: the anti-codon, which is responsible for specific mRNA codon recognition, and the 3' end, to which the tRNAs corresponding amino acid is attached (by aminoacyl-tRNA synthetases). tRNAs cope with the degeneracy of the genetic code in two manners: having more than one tRNA (with a specific anti-codon) for a particular amino acid; and 'wobble' base-pairing, i.e. permitting non-standard base-pairing at the 3rd anti-codon position. Lineage: Eukaryota; Metazoa; Chordata; Mammalia; Proboscidea; Elephantidae. The record is from Rfam by way of RNAcentral.
GAAGUGGUGGUUCAGUGGUAGAAUUCUCACCUUCCAUUUGGGAGACUUGGGUUUGAUUCCUGGCCAAUGCU